RNAcentral lists this long non-coding RNA (5884 nucleotides) under Podarcis lilfordi (Lilford's wall lizard). The record is from RNAcentral. Lineage: Eukaryota; Metazoa; Chordata; Lepidosauria; Squamata; Lacertidae.
GAUCCUUUGACGGGCUUUGGAGAGAAUAAGAAUGAGCUAUAGAAGGAGUGAACGUUUCAGCAAAGGAAUCCAGGACUUAGUCCACCAAGGAGCUUCCAUUACUUUGAAUGACUUCUGAAUGAGAGGAAAGGUCAGCAGAUUGUGCCCAAAAAAUAUUUGGCAAUGAAACAAAGCUUCCAUUUCCAAUGUAUUUAAUGUCUCAGUUUAUACCUUGCUAUUCCACAGGUUCCUUGGGUUGUUUAUAUAGUGUUAAAAUUGCAAGAAGAGAACAGAAUGUGAGAAGUCUGUUGAAUAUUAAGUUGCAGCCACUAAGUGCACCUUGCCUUUUUGCAUCAGGGUGGGGGUGGAGGUGGGUGGUCUGGUCUGUAAAUUAAAAAUUACCAGUUGCUGGAAACAACAGGGACAAGGGUGCUGUUGUGUUCAAAUCCUGCUUGCAGAUUUCUCAUGGGCAUCUGGUCAGCAACUCUGAGAACAGGAUGGUGGACUAGAUGGGCCAUUGACCUGAUGUUAAAAUUAUUUUGCAGGUUGUUAUUCAGAUUAAUUGAAUGCCACGAAACAGAGUGAAUUGUAUUAUGUAUAAUUCUUAGGCUGCCAAAUGAAACUGGAUUGUGUAGCUGUCUUGAAAAAAAAAUCAGUUGGAAUCCUAGAAUCGUAAAAUUGUAGAUUUGGAAUCCUAGAAUCGUAAAAUUGUAGAUUUGGAGGGUCAAAACCCCUGGAAUGCAGAAAUCUCAACUAAAGCAUCCAUGUCAGAUGGCCAUCUAACCUCUACUUUAAAAUAUGCACUGAAGGAGAGUCCACAACCUCCUGAGGGAGUCCACUCCACUGUUGAACAGCUUAUAUUGUCAGAAAGUUCUUCCUGAUGUUUAGUUGGAAUCUCCUUUCUUGUAACUUGAAUCCGUUGGUUCUGGUCUUACCCUCCAGAGUAGGAUUAUCACUGUUUUGCCAUCUUAUUUUAUAUGAGAUUCAAUUUAUUUUUGAAGCUUGUAAGGCAGAUGAGAAAGGUUGUGGCCAUAUUAGCAAGUGUACUGGCCAUGUGGCUCUGAGGAACAAUCAGCAAAAAUAGGUGGCGUUGAAAUUGAUGGGAGUUAGUCACUGGCAAUCCUAUCCAUGUCUACUCUGAAGUAAGUCCUGCUGAAUUACUUCUGAGGAAACAUGCAUAUUAUUUCUUAACUGUGAACUUACCCCAUGGAUGCUUCUUCGUUUACCUGUUUAAUGAGAACCCAUUAGAAUUGUUGUAAUGUGAUCAUUGCGGAGGCUCAUGUAGCCAGUUGUGACAGUGUGGCAGUGUAGAAGAUUGUUUACUCAACCCUAAAAUACAUUUCAUCAUUGACCUUUAGCAACUCAGACGUGAUCUAGAAUUAAUUUCAUUGGAAUACAGGAAGUUGCCUUAUACCAAAUCAGCCCUCAUAUCAAAUCAUUUGCCAGUCUAGUAGAAAUGGAUGAAUUCGUCAAUUCCCGCCCCCAGCCCAGUGUGCAGUUCACCCCUUAUCCACACCACGUAUACACCCCCCCAAAAAAAAAUCUUCAUGGAAACGUGUAUGCAUUUUAAAGCACAUUUCCACCAAUUCUUUCACACAAUUUUACCCAGUUUUUGGAAGUACCGUUAACUACCUCUAGUUAUGUAGUUUUGGGACUUUAUACUCACUAAUAUAUGUGUUUUUGUGAACAUUUUUGGGUAGGAAAAUUGCAUCACAAGAAGCUUGAAUAUCAAAGGAUACCUCAGUUUCAAUUUGCUUAUUGGUUUGGGAAGUGCAAAUGAGAUAGGACUAAUAUCUCCUCCAUCUUAAAUGUCUAGUCUCGUCUUUGACUGAGAGGGACUCUCCAGACUUCUAGCCAGGGACUGAACCUGAGGCAUUAUGAUCGGAUAAACAGAUGCUCUACCACCUGGCUUUCCCUGCUGAUAGCAAUAGCUUUGCUUUAUUUUAUGCUGAUAGCAAUAGCUUUGCUUUAUUUUAUGAAAUGAAAGAUCCACAAAUAUGACCAUCCACUAUAACUUCCUGUCUCAUUUUCUAUUUUGCUUUGCAUAAAAAUGGUGUACUAAAUAAUCUUGCUUUCAAAUAAAAUGUAAUACCUUAAAAAGGAAAGGAAAGAACAGAAGUCUGAAAAUGCUAAUCAAUAAAUCUUGACAGAAAUUCAACCAGUCUGAGGAUUCCCCCCCCUUUUCCUCCCCCACCCCUUUAUCCCAUCAGUAAUAAAUGAUUUGAACAUCUCAAUGGUUAUUUGCUGGUAAAAAAAAUUCAACAGAUAUAUAACAUAUCUGUAGAUAUUCAUUGCCAAUGAGAUGCUAUACUCCCAUAAAUCCAUUCAUUAUACUCAGACCAUCAAAGCUCAUCGCCGCAGCUCCAUAGAGACUCUGAACUGAUGAAUUUUGAUGGAAUAAGUAUAAUGAAUGGAUUUUUUAAAAAAUGACUGGCAUACCCGUAUCUGUUCCGGCCUUUUCUUGUUGCACUGAUUUCUGUAAAACGAAAGUUAUCUUUGAUAUUACAGUACUGCCCACAAUAGUACCUUUUCCUUUUAACCCCUCCUCAAUACUUUAUAUACAACAGAUAAGUCUGAAAUAGAUGUGUACCAAUGUUAUGCAUGCUAAGCUUCUUCAUACAUCGAUCAAAUGCACAGUAGUAGUUUUGGCAGCUGCGGCUGGUGAGCAUGCCAUGAUGGUGCAAUGUGAACAGUGGUUUAAAUGACGCAGUGCUUGGCCUCAUGUCUUGAGGAGCACAUCCACCAAGUUCUGAAAUAAGGGUACACUGGGUUACCAUAGCAACUCCAGAGAGGUUGAGUGUAUAACUUGUUGAGUCAUUCACUCUCCCAUUGGUUCAGGAAUGUAGAGAUGGGUAUAAUAGUCUCUAAGACAUUGCUUUCAUUAGGUCUUGUUGCAUGUCCUGAUGCCGUCCUGUUUGUUGUCAGGAUCUGACUCUGAAUCUGUGAGAGUCAGGGCAAGAGACUGUGAGUUGUUUUUUACACAGCAGAGUUAGCUAGCACACUGAUAGUGUUAGUAGUUCUCUCUGUACAUAUGUAUCUGUACUUUGAUGACCGGAAUAAAGGUGUAUAGUAAAAGGUAAUGGUAAUGGACCCCUGGACAGUUAAGUCCAGUCAAAGGUGACUAUGGGGUUGCGGCGCUCAUCUCUGCUUUCAGGCCAAGGGAGCUGGCGUUUGUCCCCAGACAGCUUUCUGGGUCAUGUGGCCAGCAUGACUAAACCACUUCUGGUGCAAUAGGACACUGUGAGGGAAACCAGGGCGCACAGAAAUGCUGUUUACCUUCCCGCCACAGCAGUACCUGUUUAUCUAUUUGCACUGGUAUGCUUUCAAACUGCUAGGUUGGCAGAAGCUGGGACAGAGCAAUGGGAGCUCACCUUGUCGUGUGGAUUCGAACCGCCGACCUUCCAAUCAGCAAAGCCAAGAGGCUCUGUGGUUUAGACCACAGCACCACCCAUCUUCCCUUGGUCUAUAAUAGAUAGCGAUUAGCUUUGUCUUGAGUCUGGAGACAAUAAACACCUUUUUACUUUGAACUGUGCGGGAGGGGAGUGUUUCCGUUAACCAGGGACUCUGGAAGAAGCCGUUUGCUGGGAGCAGGAAUUCUCUGAGGACUCCACUGGGGUUCUGCAUACUCUGGUGAUACAUCACACUGGUUGAGGUGUGGUGAACCACCAACUGACUUCCACAAAUCACCUUCAGGUGGCAAGGGGUGCGGCUAACCAGCAUACCCUUUCAAUGCAUAGGAGAAACAUCUCAAUCACAUCCUAUUUUGCUUGUUGUUAGCAUGAGUUUAUUGAGGUUUAAUUUUUCAGUGUUGUACUCCUUCCUUGGAGUCUCUUGGAAUUAAAUCCAUUCUAUUAUGAUAUUGUUCUUGAUUGUUUGUUUGUUUCAAAUAUUAUUUGGGAACCAAAAGGAAGAACGCCACAUAGCCCUUAAACAAAACCACAGAUUAAGAAAAAAAGGAAACUCACUGAUCACAGUUCUUAGUGUAGAACAGAUUAAAAGAAAUUCACUAACUGUUGAGAAAUUUUGGGUGUUAUCUCCUUACCAGGAAGUGAGCCCCGCUGAAGUCAAUGGGACUUACUUCUCAGUAGACAUUGUAUCAGAUUGCACCGUAAGUUAGGUAACCAAAUCAUAGUCAGAAAAAAGUAUGAACUUAUUAUUGUUUGCAUUUACCUGAAAUCUCCAUUUCCUCAAAAUAUUCAACAAGAUUGUGCUUUGAUGCUACCAAUGUACUCUAAAUAGGGGAAAAAAAUCAAAAUAUGAAGUGUUACUAGAAUAAUUUUUUCAAAAUGUGUUCUGUAGGGAGUAGGUUACUUGAAUUCUCUAUCCUUUGUUCCUGCUUUUCUGGAAGUUACAUUUUUUCUAUACACCGCAGUAUUUUCUUAAAACAAUCUCUGAAGGAAUCUACUUUUUCCCCAACCAUCCAGCUCACUGUUUAAACAUUCUUUUGUAUUCUGAUGGUUUCAUUAGUAAGGAGCUGUCUGGAGCUUUUUAAAUUUUUAUCUUUUUAAUUAAAGUAAUUUGGAUUAAAGGGAGGCAGUUGCCAUAUUAAUAAUUCCGUAAUACAGCAGUAUUUUACACUAAUAGUGGCUUCAAGGCCUUUAGUGCUUAUAAAAGACAGUAUAUAAUGGAGCCUUGGUAUUAAAUGGAAUGAAGCGUAUGAGUGCCUUUUUAAAUUUCAGGAAAAAUAGCAACAAGAAAACAGGUUAUUACAAGUGGAUUAAUGUGUCUGCUUCCUGAACUACAUUGCUGCUUUUUGCAGUGUCAACUGGAGAGCUCUAGUCCCCUCACAGAAUGACAAUUCCCAGAGUUCCCUGGGAAGAAGGAUUGAUUGUUAAACCACUCUGGAAAUUGUAGCUCUGCGGUGGGAACAGGAGUUCCCUAACAACUUUCAGCACCGGGAAGCCAUGACUGUUUGAAGUGGUAUCAUAUUAUUGUGCUUUAAAUGGAUGGUGCAAAUAUGGCCCCAAUAAAAGGGUCUCAGAGCAAGGGUUUUUCUCACCCCACUCCUUCAUAUGUGUUUCAGUCAAUGUGUAAUGAGAUUUAAGAAGCAUCUCUGUAUCUGGGCUACACUUUGGUUUUAUUCCUGAAUGGCUGUGGGGUAGCCAGUUUAUCUGGAAAUAAGGUAACCUAGUAAGCAAGUUCUAUACCUGCUUCCUGGUUAUGGAUGGGGGAGAAACUCAAUUCAGUUCACAUUUAAAGGCAAACCUACCUUACUCACAUGUUUCAUAACAGUAUGUGAACCAAAACACAGCAGUCCUUUGAUAUUUUCCAGAUUUUGCAGUGCAGUUCUUUAGCUAAGUGAUGUUUCUACAAAUGCACAUAUUGGGGUAAAGUUUGCAUAAACAUGCAAGCGUUGGCAUUAAAUUGGGUGAAUAGCUUUACAAAAAUUUCUAUACAGUAUUUGUAUAAAUACUGGUGAAUUUUCAUGAGGAGUUUUAAAAUUAAUAAAAAAAUUGCAAACUCAUGUGGAAAUGUGGAGAACCAAAUUUAAGAUUGGGGAAAAGGAGAAACGGAGGACUGAAAUUGACCUAUUCAGCCAUCCCUAUUUCAUGUUGGUAGAAUUUUCUAUUCCUUUAAUAACAUUGCUCCCACUUACUGAGACUUUUGUUCCCUCUUCCAGCCAGCAUACCAGGCACCUCUCGGUGUACAUUGAAAACAGGCCAUAGUGUCAUCUUCCAAAUUGUUGUUGUUUAGUCAUUUAGUCGUGUCCGACUCUUCGUGACCCCAUGGACCAGAGCACGCCAGGCACUCCUGUCUUCCAUCUUCCAAAUAUCCAUGGCUUAAUCUUACUCUUGGUGGAUUAAAACUGUCACUUGUGUUUUGAUCAUCUAUAAAAAGGUACAGAGCAUGUAGAGUCAGUGAAGUGGUCUAUUCCUGUCCUACCAGUUUUCCCCCACACCAGCAG